GACGGAGGAUGCAAGUGUUAUCCGGAAUCACUGGGCGUAAAGCGUCUGUAGGUGGUUUAAUAAGUCAACUGUUAAAUCUUGAGGCUCAACCUCAAAAUCGCAGUCAAAACUAUUAGGCUAGAGUAUAGUAGGGGUAAAGGGAAUUUCCAGUGGAGCGGUGAAAUGCGUAGAGAUUGGAAAGAACACCGAUGGCGAAGGCACUUUACUGGGCUAUUACUAACACUCAGAGACGAAAGCUAGGGUAGCAAAUGGG
RNAcentral lists this ribosomal RNA (253 nucleotides) under uncultured bacterium. Its description in RNAcentral is "partial 16S ribosomal RNA". It matches the Rfam family "Bacterial small subunit ribosomal RNA", at positions 524 to 776 of the family's 1533-position model. The record is from RNAcentral.